Poecile atricapillus (Black-capped chickadee) is the source of this 1658-nucleotide long non-coding RNA. RefSeq lists it as uncharacterized. The transcript has 3 exons. The record is from RefSeq and is a predicted model, not a curated record. NCBI's taxonomy places the organism in Eukaryota, Metazoa, Chordata, Aves, Passeriformes, Paridae.
UCUGUGACUGUUUCGCGUCCUGCUGCUGCUGCUGCUGGAUCCGAAUGCCGAGGCUACAAAGGCUUGUUACUGUCUCAUGCUGGGUCCCUCAAAUCCAAGAGCUACUUGGCAGUUUCCAAGGCAACCACCUGUGGAAUAAUUAAAAAGGAUGAAGUGUUAGCGUGCCAGAUAUAAGGAAUUCUUGCCUGGAGAGAGCGUUUCACUUUCUUCCGUCUUGAAGAAUCAAACGUGCUUCUGCCAGCAAAGUUAAGAAAAAGAAACGGUGGCUGAGUUGCACAAGUGAACCAGGACAACACAAAAUGUGACUCAAAGCAGGAGCGAGCAGAUGGCCACGUCGUUAGCUGGUGGCCACAGCCUUCCCAGAUGAGUUUUGGAAUUUCCACCAAAGUCGGGAUUAGGCUCAGGAUAUGCCAGUGGCACAGAGCACCCCAGGGGAGCGUGGAAGAAGAGGAAACCAUUCAUAGCGACUCAUCUCGUGGUUGGGUGAGUCAGGGGUCUGCUGUUGGUGGUCACAAAGGCACGUGGCUGACGACACCGCCUUUGUGUGCUCUGCAGGAUGCAGACUGUCUCCAAAAAUUAAUCCUCCCCGCUUGAUUUGUCCAGUGAAUUAUUUCCAGAAAGGAGUUACUGUAUUUUCUGGAAUGACUAUUGUGAAAUUCUUUCUCUCUGUCUCUUUUUUUUUUCCUUUUUUUUUUUUUUUUUUUAAAUACAGUGGGCAAGUUUUCAGCUGGUGAUUUAUCAACAAAGUAUUUUACAGGAUCAUAGUUAAAGUCUGAUCUUAAAAAAAAAUUACACCCUGUGCAAUAGGGAAAGUAAAAGCAUCUUGGUUUCCAAGUGAUGAAGGAAUAACCGAAAGAGCUGGUUCUUGGAAUAGUAGCUCCAUUGGCACUCGUUGGUGAUUUCCUGUGCAUUUGCUGCAAGAAUCGCUCUGUGAUGUGAGUAGGUGGAACUAAAGGGUUAUUACGAAACCAAUUUUCAACCAGACGUUUUGAGUCAUGGAUGGGGAAGAGGGAUAGCAGCUCCAGAGCUCUCUCUUUGUUCAGGCACCACUCCUGAAAUGCACACCCGGGAUAUUCUGUGCCUGCACGGAGCGAGGCACCAGGGGACAGGUGUGGGCUCACAUGAAGUGCUCUCCUUUGUGCCGCUCCAUCCCGGGCAUGGGAGAUGCGAGCGUGGGCUGCGAGCCGGCACAGCCUGUGCAAGGUGCACGAGGAGCAGUUUUCCCUGCUGCCUUUUCAAUUGUAAGUAUUUUCUCAUGGCUUUUCCCAGACGUGGGAGACAAAAUGGAGUUGCGUCAGGACGGGUGCCUGUGCCAAAACGAGGUGGUGGUUUGGAGUGGUUUGGUUCUGUUCUGGAAGCAGAUGGGCUGCCACUGGCAGGAGGCAGUUGGCUUCUCCAUCAGAAAAAAAAGAGAAAAGAGAAGAAGGGGUGUUUAAGGGAAUUGGUCUGGCUCCUAAACCGGAGGAAUUGUUGACCCACUGACUCAGUUCUGAAGCAUUAGGGAAGCAGUCUUCCUGUGGUUUCUUUUGUUGGUGGCAGAUUCAGAGCCUGGCUGUGAGCGUUCGGGUGUGAGCAGCAGAGGAGAGGCAGUUCUGGUACCUGCUGCUGUGGGAUUUACUUGGUGCCAGGGAGGAGCUGAGGUGCUGACGGCUGAGUAA